ACAUGUCUACAACUUAGCGUUAAUUCAUCGGAUCCCAUUAGAACUCUAUAGUUAAGCGCGCUUGGGCUAGAGUAGUACUGGGAUGGGUGACUGCUCGGGAAUUCCUAGUAUUUUACAUGGC
Picea glauca (white spruce) is the source of this 121-nucleotide non-coding RNA. The record is from Rfam. Lineage: Eukaryota; Viridiplantae; Streptophyta; Pinopsida; Pinales; Pinaceae.